UUUUUCUAAAAACAAACUAUAAUUUGGAACGGAAAGAGCAGUUGCAUUCAAGCCUAGCUGGAACGAGCCAAUUCCUGGCAGCUUAAGCAUCAGUUCAUCACCAAACCAAAUACGUAUCAUCAUCUCGGGUAGGAGUCUUUCAUAAUGAACAAGGCACCUCAGCUUGUGCUGCUAGCCUACUACCACCUGACUACCUGCACGCGAGAGAGGAUGAUCCCUGCAAAGGCUGCAGCCUAAAUGCAAUUGAGGAGAUAGCCUAAAUGAUUUCUCUUAACUGACCUGUAGGUGUUCGAUCAGCUCAGAGGCUAGCUAUUUGCACAAGAAUAUAAGUACUAUUGAGCAUACGCUACGAUGUGCCAACAAUAACAGGCGCCGAUUAUUCUCGCGUCAGAAACUCGCUUCGUGCAGCGGUGCAAGACUGCAAGAAGCCAUGGCAGCUAGUGACAUCAACCGAUGACGGAGACGACGACGCUGACGGCGAGCACCACGAACAGCAUGAUGAAGAAGACCCAGAAGUGGAAGGCGAGCACGCCGUGGGCAUGGCCGUGGCAGGCGACGAGCAUCCAGAGGACGUCGGUGGCGUGGUAGGAGGUGAGCCAGCCCAGCAAGCAGCCGAAGGCGGCGACCGGCCGCGCCGGCACGAGCAGCGCCGCCGUGCCCGCGAGCACCUGCGCCG
Molecule: long non-coding RNA, 676 nt
Filed under: Setaria italica (foxtail millet)
Lineage: Eukaryota; Viridiplantae; Streptophyta; Magnoliopsida; Poales; Poaceae
Description: long non-coding RNA (SITA_LNC002806)
Source: RNAcentral